Molecule: unclassified non-coding RNA, 242 nt
Filed under: fungal sp.
Lineage: Eukaryota; Fungi
Description: partial internal transcribed spacer region
Rfam family: Eukaryotic small subunit ribosomal RNA (bases 1-45)
Source: RNAcentral
AGUCGUAACAAGGUAUCCGUAGGUGAACCUGCGGAUGGAUCAUUACCAAAGGAUUCAUUUCCAACGUAUUGUGAACUGUUUUGAACUUACAGUCAGUGUUUACUUGUGAUAACGUAGUAGCUUAACCGCUAUUGCGGGUAACAGUAAGCACUGACUGUACCCUUAUACACGUAUUUCCGAAACUGAUGUCUGCUUUAGCUAUAAACUAAAGACAACUUUUAGCAACGGAUCUCUUGGCUCUC